GCGGACGGGUGAGUAACGCGUGGGGAACUUGCCUUACAGCACUGGGACAACAUUUGGAAACGAAUGCUAAUACCGGAUAUUAUGACUGAGUCGCAUGCAUUUGGUUAUGAAAGCUAUAUGCGCUGUGAGAGAGCUUUGCGUCCCAUUAGUUAGUUGGUGAGGUAACGGCUCACCAAGACGAUGAUGGGUAGCCGGCCUGAGAGGGUGAACGGCCACAAGGGGACUGAGACACGGCCCUUACUCCUACGGGAGGCAGCAAUGGGGAAUAUUGGACAAUGGACCAAAAGUCUGAUCCAGCAAUUCUGUGUGCACGAUGAAGUUUUUCGGAAUGUAAAGUGCUUUCAGUUGGGAAGAAGUCAGUGACGGUACCAACAGAAGAAGCGACGGCUAAAUACGUGCCAGCAGCCGCGGUAAUACGUAUGUCGCAAGCGUUAUCCGGAUUUAUUGGGCGUAAAGCGCGUCUAGGCGGUUUAGUAAGUCUGAUGUGAAAAUGCGGGGCUCAACCCCGUAUUGCGUUGGAAACUGCUAAACUAGAGUACUGGAGAGGUAGGCGGAACUACAAGUGUAGAGGUGAAAUUCGUAGAUAUUUGUAGGAAUGCCGAUGGGGAAGCCAGCCUACUGGACAGAUACUGACGCUAAAGCGCGAAAGCGUGGGUAGCAAACAGGAUUAGAUACCCUGGUAGUCCACGCCGUAAACGAUGAUUACUAGGUGUUGGGGGUCGAACCUCAGCGCCCAAGCUAACGCGAUAAGUAUCCGCCUGGGGAGUACGUACGCAAGUAUG
RNAcentral lists this ribosomal RNA (782 nucleotides) under uncultured Fusobacteriota bacterium. RNAcentral's name for it is "bacterial SSU rRNA". It matches the Rfam family "Bacterial small subunit ribosomal RNA", at positions 98 to 896 of the family's 1533-position model. The record is from RNAcentral. Lineage: Bacteria; Fusobacteriati; Fusobacteriota.